GCUGCUAUAAUGCAGUCGAGCGAACAGAUAAGGAGCUUGCUCCUUUGACGUUAGCGGCGGACGGGUGAGUAACACGUGGGUAACCUACCUAUAAGACUGGAAUAACUCCGGGAAACCGGGGCUAAUGCCGGAUAAUAUUUAGAACCGCAUGGUUCUAAAGUGAAAGAUGGUUUUGCUAUCACUUAUAGAUGGACCCGCGCCGUAUUAGCUAGUUGGUGGGGUAAUGGCUYACCAAGGCAACGAUACGUAGCCGACCUGAGAGGGUGAUCGGCCACACUGGAACUGAGACACGGUCCAGACUCCUACGGGAGGCAGCAGUAGGGAAUCUUCCGCAAUGGGCGAAAGCCUGACGGAGCAACGCCGCGUGAGUGAUGAAGGUCUUCGGAUCGUAAAACUCUGUUAUUAGGGAAGAACAAAUGUGUAAGUAACUGUGCACGUCUUGACGGUACCUAAUCAGAAAGCCACGGCUAACUACGUGCCAGCAGCCGCGGUAAUACGUAGGUGGCAAGCGUUAUCCGGAAUUAUUGGGCGUAAAGCGCGCGUAGGCGGUUUCUUAAGUCUGAUGUGAAAGCCCACGGCUCAACCGUGGAGGGUCAUUGGAAACUGGGAAACUUGAGUGCAGAAGAGGAAAGUGGAAUUCCAUGUGUAGCGGUGAAAUGCGCAGAGAUAUGGAGGAACACCAGUGGCGAAGGCGACUUUCUGGUCUGUAACUGACGCUGAUGUGCGAAAGCGUGGGGAUCAAACAGGAUUAGAUACCCUGGUAGUCCACGCCGU
Molecule: ribosomal RNA, 774 nt
Filed under: Staphylococcus nepalensis
Lineage: Bacteria; Bacillati; Bacillota; Bacilli; Caryophanales; Staphylococcaceae
Description: bacterial SSU rRNA
Source: RNAcentral